CAAAUGUUCAGGUCCAAGCCUCUGAAAACAGGCUGAAAUACGGUCAUGAGUCUACUUAGUAUAACUCCUCUUUCUUAAACUAAGAGGUACGUCUUAGUCUCUGUGAAUAAUUUGCAAUUAAAAGAAAGCCAGCAACAGCUAAAUCCACAGCCAUUAAUUUUGGCAAGAAGCGUGGAAUGUGCUCACAGCGUACUGCUGCUUGGUCAAAGGGGGAGCGCUUAAAAGUUGCUCAGAGAAAGUGCCUGCAGGAAAACCUGCCUGUGCCUCCUCUCCAAAGCGGCUGUAUUUGGAAUAUGAAAAUCUGGUCUCUGGAGAACGGGAGAAGAAAAACAGAGAAGCCACAUCCCAUGCAAUUUCAGCUGACUGCCAAACUCAUAAAGUUACUGAAACAGGAUGAUGCAGGACUGUAA
This 410-nucleotide long non-coding RNA is filed under the name Struthio camelus australis. RNAcentral's name for it is "lncRNA (ENSSCUG00000001662.1)". Lineage: Eukaryota; Metazoa; Chordata; Aves; Struthioniformes; Struthionidae. The record is from RNAcentral.